AGGAAUUCGAGAAGGCAGUGAGUGUGGUUGGAGACUCUCCAUCUAGAGGAAUGUUUAUAGAUUCUUGCUUUGACCACGGUUAAACAGAAUCAUAGGAAACAUGGUUUAAAAGUGACUCACCACAUCUUGCCAAUACAUUGAAAAACGAACUUGUCAUGGAAAUAAAUGAUCAAAGAGUCAAAUAGUUCAGUUUUUUAUCUGGGUAAAGUAUUUUUAUUCCUAAUUGCUACUACGUUGUGGAUAAACAUGUCUUGCAAUUGUAGGAUGUUGUGGAGGCUUAAAUGAGAAGACUGAAAUUGGAGCUCAAGCAAACAAUGGAAAUGUACAGCAAUGCUUACAAAGAAGCACUCACCGCACAGCAAAAGGUUGUGGAACUCCAACGCUGGAAAUUAGAGGAAGAGAGGAGAUUGGAGGAGGCAAGGCUUGCCAAAGAAGUUGCAUUGGCGGUUGCA
Vigna unguiculata (cowpea) is the source of this 452-nucleotide long non-coding RNA. RefSeq lists it as uncharacterized. Lineage: Eukaryota; Viridiplantae; Streptophyta; Magnoliopsida; Fabales; Fabaceae. The record is from RefSeq and is a predicted model, not a curated record.